AUUGAACGCUGGCGGCAUGCCUUACACAUGCAAGUCGAACGGCAGCGGGCCUUCGGGUGCCGGCGAGUGGCGAACGGGUGAGUAAUGCAUCGGAACGUGCCAUUGAGUGGGGGGAUAACGUAGCGAAAGUUACGCUAAUACCGCAUAUUCUGUGAGCAGGAAAGCGGGGGACCGCAAGGCCUUGCGCUCUUUGAGCGGCCGAUGUCAGAUUAGCUAGUUGGUGAGGUAAAGGCUUACCAAGGCGACGAUCUGUAGCGGGUCUGAGAGGAUGAUCCGCCACACUGGAACUGAGACACGGUCCAGACUCCUACGGGAGGCAGCAGUGGGGAAUUUUGGACAAUGGGCGCAAGCCUGAUCCAGCCAUGCCGCGUGAGUGAAGAAGGCC
This 385-nucleotide ribosomal RNA is filed under the name uncultured bacterium. Its description in RNAcentral is "bacterial SSU rRNA". It matches the Rfam family "Bacterial small subunit ribosomal RNA", at positions 30 to 416 of the family's 1533-position model. The record is from RNAcentral.